CGUUAACAAUUGACAACGAAAUGCGACGAGUCGUCUGUCUGGGUAAGUCCACGUAGAAAGUCUGUCAAUAAAUAUAAAAUAAUCUUAAUUUCAUCAAAGAUACACUAUAGAUACUCUUUCAAAUGCAGAUACUAAACGAUAACGUUUUUUGUCAAAAGGUUUAAAUAUAAAAUAAUCUUAAUUUCAUCAAAGAUACACGUACACUAUACUCUUUCAAAUGCAGAUACUAAACGAUAAUAUUUUUUGUCAAAAGGUUUAGCUAGCUAUCGAACGAAAAAGCGAUGGUGCGUAAUAGCUUGAGAGGAUCACUCUUCCUUCUCUAGCAUGAUUUUAUUUUUAAAUGUCACCGUAUUCUAGCAUCAACAUAACGAAAAAACUUCUUGCUGUAAUAGUUGCUUGCCUAUCGAGCGGUCUAUGUUAGUUCGGCCUGUAUUAUAUAAUAUCUUUCUAUUACGCGGUGACCUAAUCGAAAGGAAUCGAUGUCUUAGUCAAACACACUUAACCCUGACGCUAAGAAUUACUCGUUGGAUAAACCAUCCGCCGUAUUACCGCGUCGAUCUCGACCCCUGCGGUUCUCCCAACGAAUUAAUCAUCUCCCCGAGAAAGGUGCUUGCGAAAGUUUGACCCAGAUCGAUCUCCCGGAUCGGAGAACGAAGCUUGUAUAUUACAGGAAACACGUGAUUGCGUACAUUACCGGAUGUUUGUUAUCUUCUCGUUUCCAGCAUCUAAUUAAUCAAACGACUUAAUAUUGAGAUUAAAAAUCAAAAUUUCUUCUCAUCAAUAUGUUAAUCUGGAGAUUUGCUUUGGAUGUAGCAUUAUCAGCGUUGAGCAGUUGUCGGUCGACUUGUUCAAAAUUGCGUUCGUCUAUUAAAGGAGUAUAAUAAGCGCAUCCCUUCGUUCGGUCAGUGUAUACUCAUUAAAAACAAACUUGCUCCCGUCGUGGAUCAAAUGCAAAUUUGUUAAUUAAAAACUUCGCUACGAGGCGGAAAAUGUCAUUUUCGGUUAUUCGUCAUUCUCUCUGCCUUUCCCAUUCUUUUCUUUUAUCAGCGGCACUCGUGAAAAUAUACCUGAAAUAAGCGUUUCCCUCACAGUCGGUGUGCAUACUAAGUGUGUCGUAAAGUUUACAUUUAAAUUGGAAAUUCUUCUGCGGACGAUCGCGUGUUUAAGCAUGUACGGCAGGAAUUACGCGCUCUCUUCAUAUCAAUUUAUUAUGGUCUAUUAACAAGUCUAGCGCUAUGAAACGUAAAGAAUUUUACGACCACACGGCACUUAAAUUAAAAGCCUGAAAAAUUGAAGAUACAUGGGCGUAAUAUUUUUGAAAAAUAUUAUAACAAUUUUUCAGAAUUUGCAGCGCGAAAUCAAUACAUUGAAUUACGUACGUAUAUUAGCACUUUUUCCUUUCUUUCUUUUUCCUUCUUUUCGUAAAGUUUCGAGACUUUGGAAAUAAGCGGCUCAUAUAUUAAUGAUUUAAUAUGAUAGCUUAAAGUAUUUUGCAGCUAUAGGUCUCUUAAACUAUGUGAUAAAAGUUCCCUUUGUUCGAGAUUGCGAAAAUUCAGUAAAAUGUGUCGAUGGAGAAAUAUAUUAAAAAUGUAGCACACAGGGUGUGUGUGUGUGUGUUCACGUUUACAGUUCAAAGGCAUUUCAUGUCGCUGGUCGUAGAUGGCGGGAAUACGCGAAUAUUGAACAGAUUUCAUCGAUAAGCCAUCCGAUCAUUUUUUGCCAUUAUAUCGAAUAAAACUAAAUUACAAAAUAUAAUAAAAUAUGGUAACAAACUGCAAAAUAUCAAAAUUGGUACACUGAAAAAUCAAUCGGAAAGAAUGUUUAAUGCUUAAAUUAAUUUAUUUUAACGCGAAUUAAAGUUUUAGGAAUUAAAAAAUAUUCAUAAUUCCUUAAAUCUCUUGAGAGCUAAAGAAGAAUUACGGUAGCGAUAAUAACGGUUAACGACCUGUCUCGCUGUAGCAGUUAAAAUGUUGAACUCGGUGAUGUCCCGCUUCCAAAAAUAAUUCCAUUAGGUGAUCGAGUUUGUGCCGGGAACGGAGUAUCAAGAGUGACGGAUCGCCUUUUAGCGCGGAAAGGGCGAGACGUUCUCAGGACUCGCUAAAGUAAUUAUGUCCUUUUGCGGGCUCGCUCCACCCUGUCGAAGGAGUCUCACAACGGAAACGCUUUAGCCACCCGGGGAUGAUCGCAAAGAUGACGAUUGACGUUCAAUAAAUAUGCUAAUAUUUCCGCCGUAUUGCCGGAAAUUAUGUGUCCUUCCGUGGCAUCUUGCCCAAUCCGAGUAAAACGAUCGUUGAUCCUCAGCUGCGGAGAAUUUAUUGCGAUGGAGAAUUCUAUAGUCUCGUCACGUCAGACCGAUGUGCUAGGAAAGUCGAAAUUUCCAUCCGUAUCUUUUGAAUCUUUUCAAUUACGAUUUACAGUCUUUAACAAAUAAAAAGAACGUGUUCAAUUUCUAGGAAAAUUACAUGCUUGCUAAUUAUAUGAGCUUUGUGUACCGUAUUGCUGAGAUUAGUCGGUUUAGGGACCAAGGAUCCAAGGAUCUCUGAUGCGGCCACGCGGGUUCUCUUGACUUCCUCGUUCGCUACGUAUGAGUCGCAGCAAUGUAAACUGCAGGUCGUUAGCUAAAAUAACUACGGCACGGUAUCUGCAUCACAUACAUACGUACGUAUUCUACAUCUGUAUUCCGUACAUAGCCGCAGUGUGACGGGAAACAAAGCGAAAUUACAGUGAGAGAAGCGGAGGAUAUGAGGACUAUCCAGCAUGGUGGCAUCUCGGGGUGUAGGACGUCAUCAUGCUGUAAACAAUGUUAUUUCGAUGUAGCCUCAACCGCUGGUGCAACUAUUCUUCGCGUGUUUCAUCGAAGUCCGGCUUUUUGAGGUGAAAUCGCUACACUAGCUGCGCGGCGAUUUGGCACAAAACAAAUUGCGGAAAAAAUUCCGCGAGUGCUUUCGAACAAAGUUCGGGAAUCAAAAUUGACUUUUCUAAAGCGUUAAAGUGUCUGAAGCGUAAAACAAGAAAAAAUUGUGCGCGCACCGUGGUCUGAUGUUUCGCGCGACGCUGUCAAAAUGCUGACGGCGGAACAAAAACGCUUGGCUUUGUACAACGAGUGGCCUUUCAGCGUCGUGAGCGUAAUUUCUUUUUUUUCACGUGGAAAGAACGGCUGUUUUGUAUGUGUGUGUCUUGCGCUAUCGGCAAACAAAAAGUAACAAGAAGAAUUAAUUAUUAAUCCCGUCGUAUACGCCGCUCGAAAAGCUCGGCGAAGCGGCGCGCGCUGUCGAUUAAUAAUUGCGCAAAGAAUGCCGAAUAUAUAAUUCAUGACAUCCAUAUUCAACGCCGGUAAAAUUAGUUUACCGUGGUGUAGCUUUGCCGCCUUUCGACGAGCGAUUAAUUAAUGAUAAUCAAUUGCUACUAAAUGACCGAACGCCACUGACAAUUGCAUUGCCAAUUAUAUUCUGAUAUCACGAAGAGAGAGGCGAAAAACGUUUUUUGCAACACAUAUGUACUAGAUUGCAUAUAAUCAUUUCAUGUUUUAGUGUUUUUAAUAAUAUAGAUUGCAAUAUAUAUUCAUUAUUAAAAACACUAAACAAACGGAAUAAAUUUAUCUUACAACUCAAUACAUAUAUUUCACGUGUAUGUUAAGCGGGCAUCUCACACGUCCGAGUUAAACAGAUUUUGUCGACGGAAACACGUUUCUCCGUUCGCUUGAAAAUCUUGUCGAGAAACGCGCGCGUCGUAAGAAUGCAUCCCCUCGCGAUAAAACUAUCGAAUUCUCGUUUGGCUCCGAUCUUUCAAUCCUGCAGCUGCAAAAACCGAUGCAGCAUCACGUCGACCGGCAGAGAGCCGUGUAAAUCCCAGAUUCUAACGGACAUGUUAACCACCUAGGCACGUCAAUCCGUCAAAAGUAACGACGGCGACCGUACGAUCGACAGCGAGUCUUGACGAUGUAUGUCGCGACGAGAAAGAUGCAUGGAGCAAUACAUGCAAUGAUGAAAAUAAUCUUUUUUAACACCAGGUAGUCACGCUGCAAUGUUGGUAAUUCUAGAACCCGUUAUACAAUAUAAGGAUAAAUAAUAUGCAUUCGCGAUGCAACGAGUCCACGGGGACAAUAUCCAUUUAAGACACCUCCAACUCAGACCGACAAUAAUAUGCCAACCAUAUGGAAAUAAUGAAAGUAACGAAGCCAAACGGUUUCCGCUUGCUGCAGCGCUGCUGCAAGCAGAACUCUAGGGCUCCCGGCAAGAUAAUUCCGAUCACACUUCAACAUCCCCAAGCCUCUCGUAAUCCGGCUUGUCCUCACCUUCUCCCACGCGUAUUUCGCAGCCUGCUGUCGCGUUGCGGUGCUAUUAUACGUCGGGGACCUCACCCCAGCGGCGCGCGUGCAUUUCCUGCAGCGCGUUCCGCAGCAUAUCGCGACUCCUUUAUUACUUUACGGACCGCUGCAUCCACCCUACUGCACCCGCGGGGUCGUCGUCGAGGAGGUGCGCGCGCGCGUGCUUUCACGUACUCACCCUCGUGGUGCCGCCGUCGGUGUACCGUUCACCUUGGCAUCCGUAGAAUGGACGCUUUGCCUCGGUGAGGUUCCGGGAAUUCCGGACGAUUCGACAGCGAGCGGGAGUCGGUCGGAUCCUUCCGUUACAGUAAUUAUUCCUCGGACGAUAUAUGACGCGCCGUCUCGACAACGGCCGUUCUCCACCGUGAAAUUGCGCCGUUGUUAUUUCGAUUUGUCGUCAUCGCAUUCCUACGUCCGAUGCGGAUGCCCAACGUCUUUACGAGAAAUGUCGAGCGCCGACCGAGGUUCGAUGGUCUUAAGGAUGAAUCCACAAUUCUACCGUCAGGAAUACUUCGUGAACUGUAAGCUUUUAGACCUUUCGGUCGGGUGAAUAAAAGAAGAAUGAACCAGAAAGAUUUAUACGAAAGAAAAGAAGUCGAAAUGAAAAAAAUAUUAAUUCGCUAAACAUAAAUAGAAACUGUCUCUAUGUUUAAGGUAUUCUUCUGUCGCUAAUUGUGUCCGAUCGAAUUACUAUUGGAUCGCUUGGAUGGGUAUAAUAGGAAAGACGUUUUCUCGAUAAUUUCGCAGCAAAGAACAGUGACAUUAUGGGUCAGCGAGUGAAUUCCUAAUUCGGAGCGGAUCGACGAGGACUAGUUAUGAAUGUCGAUGCAAUUGUUGUCGGCGACGGUGGCUUGAUGGUGGUUGGAAGUACCCCCACGAGGAUUAAACUCAUAUCGAACUCGGCGCGACGGUAUUACGAGCGUGGCCAUUAUCGUAAACAUGCGGAUACCAAAUUGAUUUUAAAUCGGUAUUGCCGGGAACAUACACGAUAUUCUCCUUGAUCUUAAAGAGCGUAACCACAUUGUUCAGAUAUUGGUAUUUCAAACUCUUUUCUGGAAGGCAAAAAAUACUUUGAAUGUCCAUGUUUCUUUAGUAUUAUAUAUAUAAUUAUAUAAGAUAAUUGCAAUUUUUUCAACACAUAUAACUAAUUGAAUGUAUCUUUCUUUAUCGGUUCGAUAAAUAAAAUAAUAAAUAAAACUAUUAGUAGGACUUUUAGAACCUUUACUUAAAGUCGUCUCAAACCGCUCAUUGAGCAAAGUCACGUAAUACGCCAAAGAAUUAUGCAAAUCACUGUCGAUGUCUGCAUACCGAAUGUGUAACGUCAAAAUUGCGUUUAUUUUUGCAGAACGGUUAAUUGAAUCACUUGUCGAGAGGUAAAACGUCCGCACGAGAACUCAUUCGGCCGCGUCGCUUCGCGACAUGAAACUUUCCGCGUCCGCGACAGAUUGGCGUUGCUCAAGGGACACGAAAAGGAUGAUUAUCCUUUACUAGGCGGAAUUCCGUUAUUAGAUUAAAGUGUAGCGGUCACGAGUGUCAUUAACGUCGCCAAUUAGCGUGGGCUCUUGUCGUCUUUGCGCGCGGCGCAGCAUUUUAUUCGAUCCCGCGGGAUCUGUAUUCGCCACGGCGGUAAAACAACGCAAAGCAAUGUUUUACCGUUUUACGCGAAAUGCCACCCUCGUGGUGGCUUUAUAUUACUUCGGGGAUGUGGGAGGGUCCAAAGGCGUGUUGCAGCCAGGUCUUGCUAAAUCCGCGUAUAAUAUCCACAAUGCGCGUGGCGGAAAUCACGUUUACCAGACGACAGAGGCAUGAUUUCACACAUCGCCGAGACGCACGAGAAUUUUAUUAUACUCAAUACUUUAAGAGACGUAUGCGAUUUUCUCAGCGUAUUAUGGCAAUACCCCUUCCAUGUUAUUUCCUAAUCCGACGCAAGUUUGAAUUGACGCCAGCUGGUGAAAAUAAUAUUCUUUCGUAAUUCCGGCUUCUCCACAAAUUGGCUCCGCUGAUUACCACGUUUUUCAGGUAUAUACCUUGUAUUCCGCGCGCAUAUCUGACCCCGUAUUAAGGUUUUUAUCUUGCUUUAUCCCGGUUGUAAAUGGAGAUGUGUUCUUUCACGGGUGCCAUUGCCGUCGCUAGUUGUCAUUAACGCCGCGAUUAUACGUGUUCAUCCCGAGAGAAUCAUACUGGUCCCUCCACUCUCCGGGAUUAUUUAACGCACAAAACGCUGACUCUGAAUAUCUCGAAAUGAAGACCUCAUGAGCGACUCGUGUAAUCUUUAGUAUUCCAAGUGUCAAGAAGUUUCUCGCAUUACGAACGAAGUACAGAGUUUGGCAACGCCCGGAGCAUCGUUAUUGUCGUUGAUAACGCGGACUCUAGCAACUAUAUUUUAACGACUAGCAGUGAAUUACUUGUAAUUUAGUAAAUAUAUAUUGUAACAAGAAAAAA
Long non-coding RNA from Ooceraea biroi (clonal raider ant), 6769 nucleotides. RefSeq lists it as uncharacterized. NCBI's taxonomy places the organism in Eukaryota, Metazoa, Arthropoda, Insecta, Hymenoptera, Formicidae. The record is from RefSeq and is a predicted model, not a curated record.